UGGUGGAGUGAUUUGUCUGGUUAAUUCCGAUAACGAACGAGAUCACAAUGUAUUAAAUAGUGGGGUCAAACGUCUCACAGGUGAAGUUGUUAGCAGAUUGGGAGUCCGCUCUCUUUCUCUUUCGAUGGAUCCUUGGCGAUUUUGACUAGGCUUCUUAAGCGGACAAUUGAGGUAUACUCAGUGGAAGUGUGGCAAUAACA
This 200-nucleotide ribosomal RNA is filed under the name uncultured eukaryote. RNAcentral describes it as "partial 18S ribosomal RNA". It matches the Rfam family "Eukaryotic small subunit ribosomal RNA", at positions 1299 to 1458 of the family's 1831-position model. The record is from RNAcentral.